Molecule: unclassified non-coding RNA, 138 nt
Filed under: uncultured fungus
Lineage: Eukaryota; Fungi
Description: sequence contains ITS1
Source: RNAcentral
GUGUUUAAAUCAAUUUGAAUUAGAAUUAGAAUCAAUACUAUGGUUCACUCGGUGUUUGGUUAACACUCGACACGCAACCGCGUGCAAGUUUGUUCAAUCAUACCAGAAAUGAUCCUUCCGCAGGUUCACCUACGGAAA